UGGGGAAUUUUCCGCAAUGGGCGAAAGCCUGACGGAGCAAUACCGCGUGAGGGAGGAAGGCUUUUGGGUUGUAAACCUCUUUUCUCAAGGAAGAAGAUCUGACGGUACUUGAGGAAUCAGCAUCGGCUAACUCCGUGCCAGCAGCCGCGGUAAUACGGAGGAUGCAAGCGUUAUCCGGAAUGAUUGGGCGUAAAGCGUCUGCAGGUGGCUAUGCAAGUCUGCUGUUAAAGAGUGGAGCUUAACUAGAUAAUGGCGGUGGAAACUGCAAAACUAGAGUGCGUUCGGGGCAGAGGGAAUUCCUGGUGUAGCGGUGAAAUGCGUAGAUAUCAGGAAGAACACCGGUGGCGAAGGCGCUCUGCUAGGCCGCAACUGACACUGAGGGACGAAAGCUAGGGGAGCGAAUGGGAUUAGAUACCCCCGUAGUCC
RNAcentral lists this ribosomal RNA (426 nucleotides) under uncultured prokaryote. RNAcentral's name for it is "bacterial SSU rRNA". It matches the Rfam family "Bacterial small subunit ribosomal RNA", at positions 355 to 796 of the family's 1533-position model. The record is from RNAcentral.